Long non-coding RNA from Brassica napus (rape), 1115 nucleotides. RefSeq lists it as uncharacterized. The record is from RefSeq and is a predicted model, not a curated record. The transcript is spliced from 2 exons. Lineage: Eukaryota; Viridiplantae; Streptophyta; Magnoliopsida; Brassicales; Brassicaceae.
GAUCGAAUCCGGAUCUCGGAUAAUAAGUCCCCGGCCUACCAUCAGCUACCUGAGAUCAUUUUAAAAUAAAUAAUCUAUAAUCAAAUAGUAAAAGUUUCUAUAAUGGCUAUUUCGUUCAUGGGAAAUAACAAAAAUAUAAAGCCUCUAGAGAAAUGUACCCAAGGUCCUAGCUUUGCUAGAAAGAUACCAAAGAGCACUCACGUCAAUGGUAGAGAACUUUAUUACAAUAAAACUUUUUUUUGUAGCCGGCUUACUAAUAUUAAAUUGCAAAAAAAUGACAAAUGUUUACAAAAGCCCAAAAACUCUAGUUAAGGAGCAUAGCCCAAUGAAACUCACAAAAUAGAAUUUUUCUAAACUCAUUUAGUUAUCCAGCCUCAGUCAGAGGCCCAGUUGCUGUGUUGUUUUUGAUUUGUCGAUGGUAUCGAAGAGAAACUGAAUGGUCCGAGGUCGCUAGUCUGUCAACAAAAGAGUUUGAUGCGGUGAAACAGAUGAUCUUUCUCAACGAAACCAGAACUGCAUCAUUACUGAGGCUUUCCUAGGGCGGUUGUUGCGCUCGUUCCAUGUCCAAUAGAGAGUUGCUUGCCAGCCUAGAAGAGUCAGCGAUCGGACUGUUGAAGGAGAAGGUGGCGAGAUCAUCUGAGCCAAUGAACUCUCCCAGUUGCAUUGUGGAUUGAGUCUACAUCUUGAAGCCACUGUUGGACCCGAAUAUGACCCUCAGGUGAGGUACCGAUAAGCGUGAGCUAGCAUGUGGGUUGCGAUAAGCCCAUCAUAACAAAGGGAGCUGAAAGCCGAGCUGACGACUGGACCUGGGAGACAUCAUAGCAGAGGUCACGACAGAAAGUGAGCUAACACCUUAAGAGACUCGGUCAAGAGGAGCCUAAAGCGAGUUCCGUAAUUGAAGCCGAAUAUCUCGGAGAACAGUUGAAGGGUUGCCAACGAAACCUAGACUAUAUAAAGACGGAGAAGAUAAAAGACAAGCCAUCUCUUUUCCAUAUAUCAACUUUUGUACUAGAUUAAAAGCAUUACGUAUUCUUUAGUAAUCAUCUCAAGAUACAUUCCUUUGUAUUCAUCAUCUUUCAACUCAUCAAUAAAAUCAUAUUCAUUCUUCAAGUUUA